RNAcentral lists this unclassified non-coding RNA (254 nucleotides) under uncultured Gemmatimonadota bacterium. RNAcentral's name for it is "uncultured Gemmatimonadetes bacterium contains 16S-23S intergenic spacer region". It matches the Rfam family "Bacterial small subunit ribosomal RNA", at positions 524 to 776 of the family's 1533-position model. The record is from RNAcentral. Lineage: Bacteria; Pseudomonadati; Gemmatimonadota.
UACGGAGGGCGCAAGCGUUGUUCGGAAUUGCUGGGCGUAAAGCGCGGGCAGGCGGUCUGUUAAGUCUUCUGUGAAAAUCCGGGGCUCAACCCCGUGAAAUGCGUACGAUACUGGCAGACUGGAGAUCGGUAGAGGCUAGCGGAAUUCCUGGUGUAGCGGUGGAAUGCGUAGAUAUCAGGAAGAACACCUGUGGCGAAGGCGGCUAGCUGGGCUGAGUCUGACACUCAUCCGCGAAAGCGUGGGGAGCAAACAGG